AUUGAACGCUGGCGGCAGGCCUAACACAUGCAAGUCGAGCGGAUGAAGGGAGCUUGCUCCUGGAUUCAGCGGCGGACGGGUGAGUAAUGCCUAGGAAUCUGCCUGGUAGUGGGGGAUAACGUCCGGAAACGGGCGCUAAUACCGCAUACGUCCUGAGGGAGUAAGUGGGGGAUCUUCGGACCUCACGCUAUCAGAUGAGCCUAGGUCGGAUUAGCUAGUUGGUGGGGUAAAGGCCUACCAAGGCGACGAUCCGUAACUGGUCUGAGAGGAUGAUCAGUCACACUGGAACUGAGACACGGUCCAGACUCCUACGGGAGGCAGCAGUGGGGAAUAUUGGACAAUGGGCGAAAGCCUGAUCCAGCCAUGCUGCGUGUGUGAAGAAGGUCUUCGGAUUGUAAAGCACUUUAAGUUGGGAGGAAGGGCAGUAAGUUAAUACCUUGCUGUUUUGACGUUACCAACAGAAUAAGCACCGGCUAACUUCGUG
RNAcentral lists this ribosomal RNA (484 nucleotides) under uncultured bacterium. RNAcentral's name for it is "partial 16S ribosomal RNA". It matches the Rfam family "Bacterial small subunit ribosomal RNA", at positions 30 to 507 of the family's 1533-position model. The record is from RNAcentral.